Non-coding RNA from Mycena epipterygia, 89 nucleotides. The record is from the annotation of a GenBank genome assembly. NCBI's taxonomy places the organism in Eukaryota, Fungi, Basidiomycota, Agaricomycetes, Agaricales, Mycenaceae.
GGCCUGUUGGUGUAGGGGUUACACGUCCUCUUACUGUGACUAUUGACGGAAAUUAGAGGAAGUCCCCUGUUCGAAUCAGGGUCAGGCAA